RNAcentral lists this ribosomal RNA (1486 nucleotides) under Microtetraspora sp. NBRC 13810. RNAcentral describes it as "partial 23S ribosomal RNA". It matches the Rfam family "Bacterial large subunit ribosomal RNA", at positions 1461 to 2925 of the family's 2925-position model. Lineage: Bacteria; Bacillati; Actinomycetota; Actinomycetes; Streptosporangiales; Streptosporangiaceae. The record is from RNAcentral.
GCGAUGGGGUGACGCAGGAAGGUAGUCCAGCCCAGGCGAUGGUUGUUCCUGGGGUAAGCAUGUAGGGCGGAGUAUAGGCAAAUCCGUACUCCACGUGCCUGAGGUGUGAUGCCGAGCCGAUUGUGGCGAAGUGGAUGAUCCUAUGCUGCCGAGAAAAGCCUCUAGUGAGUGUUGCGGCGGCCCGUACCCUAAACCGACUCAGGUGGUCAGGUAGAGAAUACUAAGGCGAUCGGGUGAACUGUGGUUAAGGAACUCGGCAAAUUGCCCCCGUAACUUCGGGAGAAGGGGGGCCUCUGCUGGUGAUGGGACGUGCUCCUUGAGCUGGUGGGGGUCGCAGUGGCCAGGGGGAAGCGACUGUUUACUAAAAACACAGGUCCGUGCGAAGUCGUAAGACGAUGUAUACGGACUGACGCCUGCCCGGUGCCGGAACGUUAAGGGGACCGGUUAGUCGUCUUCGGAUGGCGAAGCUGAGAACUUAAGCGCCGGUAAACGGCGGUGGUAACUAUAACCAUCCUAAGGUAGCGAAAUUCCUUGUCGGGUAAGUUCCGACCUGCACGAAUGGCGUAACGACUUCCCCGCUGUCUCAACCGCAGACCCGGCGAAAUUGCAUUACGAGUAAAGAUGCUCGUUACGCGCAGCAGGACGGAAAGACCCCGGGACCUUCACUAUAGCUUGACAUUGGUGUUUGGGACGGCUUGUGUAGGAUAGGUGGGAGACUGUGAAGCCUUCACGCUAGUGUGGGUGGAGUCAUUGGUGAAAUACCACUCUGGUCGUUUUGGAUGUCUAACUCUGGUCCGUGAUCCGGAUCGGGGACAGUGUCUGGUGGGUAGUUUAACUGGGGCGGUUGCCUCCUAAAGGGUAACGGAGGCGCCCAAAGGUUCCCUCAGCCUGGUUGGCAAUCAGGUGUUGAGUGUAAGUGCACAAGGGAGCUUGACUGUGAGACCGACGGGUCGAGCAGGAGCGAAAGCUGGGACUAGUGAUCCGGCAUCGGCUUGUGGAAGCGGUGUCGCUCAACGGCUAAAAGGUACCCCGGGGAUAACAGGCUGAUCUUCCCCAAGAGUCCAUAUCGACGGGAUGGUUUGGCACCUCGAUGUCGGCUCGUCGCAUCCUGGGGCUGGAGUAGGUCCCAAGGGUUGGGCUGUUCGCCCAUUAAAGCGGUACGCGAGCUGGGUUUAGAACGUCGCGAGACAGUUCGGUCCCUAUCCGCUGUGCGCGUAGGAGACUUGAAAGGGGCUGUCCCUAGUACGAGAGGACCGGGACGGACGAACCUCUGGUGUGCCAGUUGUAUCGCCAGGUGCAUGGCUGGUUGGCUACGUUCGGAAGGGAUAACCGCUGAAAGCAUCUAAGCGGGAAGCUCGCCUUGAGAUGAGGUCUCCCUCCAAGUGAUUGGGUAAGGCUCCCGGUUGAUGAUCGGGUUGAUAGGCCGGAGGUGGAAGCGCGGUAACGUGUGGAGCUGACCGGUACUAAUAGGCCGAGGACUUGACCA